Molecule: ribosomal RNA, 340 nt
Filed under: Sundathelphusa celer
Lineage: Eukaryota; Metazoa; Arthropoda; Malacostraca; Decapoda; Parathelphusidae
Description: partial 16S ribosomal RNA
Source: RNAcentral
UCUAUUUGGAGGUAUAAAAAGUUUGGCCUGCCCACUGAUUAAAUAGUUUUAAGGGCCGCGGUAUUAUGACCGUGCAAAGGUAGCAUAAUCAUUAGGUUUUUAAAUGGAAUCUUGUAUGAAUGGUUGGACAAAGAAGAGACUGUCUUUAUAUGAGGGUUUGAAUUUUACUUUUAAGUGAGAAGGCUUAAAUGUUUUAGGGGGACGAUAAGACCCUAUAAAACUUUACAUUGAAAUUAUAUUAGUUGAAUUGAUAAUAAAGAUUUAGUAUAAACAUUUGUUUUGUUGGGGAGACAAAGGUAAAAAUUAUGUUAACUGCUUAUAAAAUAGACAUUUAUUAGUG